This 425-nucleotide ribosomal RNA is filed under the name uncultured bacterium. Its description in RNAcentral is "bacterial SSU rRNA". It matches the Rfam family "Bacterial small subunit ribosomal RNA", at positions 354 to 796 of the family's 1533-position model. The record is from RNAcentral.
GUGGGGAAUAUUGGACAAUGGGGGAAACCCUGAUCCAGCAAUGCCGCGUGAGUGAUGAAGGCCUUCGGGUUGUAAAGCUCUUUUAUCAGGGAAGAUAAUGACGGUACCUGAUGAAUAAGCUCCGGCUAACUUCGUGCCAGCAGCCGCGGUAAUACGAAGGGAGCUAGCGUUGUUCGGAAUUACUGGGCGUAAAGGGCGCGUAGGCGGCCUUGUAAGUUAGAUGUGAAAGCCCCGGGCUUAACCUGGGAACUGCAUUUAAGACUGCAAAGCUAGAGGACGAGAGAGGAAAGUGGAAUUAUGAGUGUAGAGGUGAAAUUCGUAGAUAUUCAUAAGAACACCAGUGGCGAAGGCGACUUUCUGGCUCGUAUCUGACGCUAAGGCGCGAAAGCGUGGGGAGCAAACAGGAUUAGAAACCCCGGUAGUCC